UACGAGGGGGGCGAGCGUUGUUCGGAAUUAUUGGGCGUAAAGCGUGCGUAGGCGGUUUGGUAAGUCUCUUGUGAAAUCUAUGGGCUCAACUCAUAGUCUGCAAGGGAAACUGCCGGGCUUGAGUGUGGGAGAGGUGAGUGGAAUUUCCGGUGUAGCGGUGAAAUGCGUAGAUAUCGGAAGGAACACCUGUGGCGAAAGCGGCUCACUGGACCACAACUGACGCUGAUGCACGAAAGCUAGGGGAGCAAGCAGG
This 253-nucleotide ribosomal RNA is filed under the name uncultured bacterium. RNAcentral's name for it is "partial 16S ribosomal RNA". It matches the Rfam family "Bacterial small subunit ribosomal RNA", at positions 524 to 776 of the family's 1533-position model. The record is from RNAcentral.